AGCGAACGCUGGCGGCAGGCUUAACACAUGCAAGUCGAGCGGGCACUUCGGUGUCAGCGGCAGACGGGUGAGUAACACGUGGGAACGUGCCCUUCGGUUCGGAAUAACUCAGGGAAACUUGAGCUAAUACCGGAUACGCCCUUUUGGGGAAAGGUUUACUGCCGAAGGAUCGGCCCGCGUCUGAUUAGCUAGUUGGUGGGUUAAUGGCCUACCAAGGCGACGAUCAGUAGCUGGUCUGAGAGGAUGAUCAGCCACACUGGGACUGAGACACGGCCCAGACUCCUACGGGAGGCAGCAGUGGGGAAUAUUGGACAAUGGGCGCAAGCCUGAUCCAGCCAUGCCGCGUGAGUGAUGAAGGCCUUAGGGUUGUAAAGCUCUUUCGACGGGGACGAUAAUGACGGUACCCGUAGAAGAAGCCCCGGCUAACUUCGUGCCAGCAGCCGCCGU
This 447-nucleotide ribosomal RNA is filed under the name uncultured bacterium. RNAcentral's name for it is "bacterial SSU rRNA". It matches the Rfam family "Bacterial small subunit ribosomal RNA", at positions 29 to 521 of the family's 1533-position model. The record is from RNAcentral.